This 92-nucleotide transfer RNA is filed under the name Clostridium thermosuccinogenes. RNAcentral describes it as "Pseudoclostridium thermosuccinogenes tRNA-Ser". It matches the Rfam family "tRNA". From Rfam's summary of the family: Transfer RNA (tRNA) molecules are approximately 80 nucleotides in length. The record is from RNAcentral. Lineage: Bacteria; Bacillati; Bacillota; Clostridia; Eubacteriales; Clostridiaceae.
GGAGAAGUACCCAAGUAGGCCGAAGGGGACGGUUUGCUAAAUCGUUAGGCGUCGUAAGGCGUGCCAGGGUUCGAAUCCCUGCUUCUCCGCCA